This 1499-nucleotide ribosomal RNA is filed under the name metagenome. RNAcentral's name for it is "bacterial SSU rRNA". It matches the Rfam family "Bacterial small subunit ribosomal RNA". The record is from RNAcentral.
AGAGUUUGAUCAUGGCUCAGAUUGAACGCUGGCGGCAGGCCUAACACAUGCAAGUCGAACGGUAACAGGAAGAAGCUUGCUUCUUUGCUGACGAGUGGCGGACGGGUGAGUAAUGUCUGGGAAACUGCCUGAUGGAGGGGGAUAACUACUGGAAACGGUAGCUAAUACCGCAUAACGUCGCAAGACCAAAGAGGGGGACCUUCGGGCCUCUUGCCAUCGGAUGUGCCCAGAUGGGAUUAGCUAGUAGGUGGGGUAACGGCUCACCUAGGCGACGAUCCCUAGCUGGUCUGAGAGGAUGACCAGCCACACUGGAACUGAGACACGGUCCAGACUCCUACGGGAGGCAGCAGUGGGGAAUAUUGCACAAUGGGCGCAAGCCUGAUGCAGCCAUGCCGCGUGUAUGAAGAAGGCCUUCGGGUUGUAAAGUACUUUCAGCGGGGAGGAAGGGAGUAAAGUUAAUACCUUUGCUCAUUGACGUUACCCGCAGAAGAAGCACCGGCUAACUCCGUGCCAGCAGCCGCGGUAAUACGGAGGGUGCAAGCGUUAAUCGGAAUUACUGGGCGUAAAGCGCACGCAGGCGGUUUGUUAAGUCAGAUGUGAAAUCCCCGGGCUCAACCUGGGAACUGCAUCUGAUACUGGCAAGCUUGAGUCUCGUAGAGGGGGGUAGAAUUCCAGGUGUAGCGGUGAAAUGCGUAGAGAUCUGGAGGAAUACCGGUGGCGAAGGCGGCCCCCUGGACGAAGACUGACGCUCAGGUGCGAAAGCGUGGGAGCAAACAGGAUUAGAUACCCUGGUAGUCCACGCCGUAAACGAUGUCGACUUGGAGGUUGUGCCCUUGAGGCGUGGCUUCCGGAGCUAACGCGUUAAGUCGACCGCCUGGGGAGUACGGCCGCAAGGUUAAAACUCAAAUGAAUUGACGGGGGCCCGCACAAGCGGUGGAGCAUGUGGUUUAAUUCGAUGCAACGCGAAGAACCUUACCUGGUCUUGACAUCCACGGAAGUUUUCAGAGAUGAGAAUGUGCCUUCGGGAACCGUGAGACAGGUGCUGCAUGGCUGUCGUCAGCUCGUGUUGUGAAAUGUUGGGUUAAGUCCCGCAACGAGCGCAACCCUUAUCCUUUGUUGCCAGCGGUCCGGCCGGGAACUCAAAGGAGACUGCCAGUGAUAAACUGGAGGAAGGUGGGGAUGACGUCAAGUCAUCAUGGCCCUUACGACCAGGGCUACACACGUGCUACAAUGGCGCAUACAAAGAGAAGCGACCUCGCGAGAGCAAGCGGACCUCAUAAAGUGCGUCGUAGUCCGGAUUGGAGUCUGCAACUCGACUCCAUGAAGUCGGAAUCGCUAGUAAUCGUGGAUCAGAAUGCCACGGUGAAUACGUUCCCGGGCCUUGUACACACCGCCCGUCACACCAUGGGAGUGGGUUGCAAAAGAAGUAGGUAGCUUAACCUUCGGGAGGGCGCUUACCACUUUGUGAUUCAUGACUGGGGUGAAGUCGUAACAAGGUA